Molecule: long non-coding RNA, 4000 nt
Filed under: Xyrichtys novacula (pearly razorfish)
Lineage: Eukaryota; Metazoa; Chordata; Actinopteri; Labriformes; Labridae
Source: RNAcentral
CCUCGGGUUUCCCCUGGAUUUCAAUCCCCCUCCACAUUUAGGGCACACUCCACAGCAAUCUCACUUUUAUUGCACCUGUUUCUCCAAGAUGAAAUGUUUCAAUUUCCUCUGAGGAAAAGUUGAAAAAAUUGGAGCUCGGCCAAAGCCGCCCUCGCUGAAACCUCUCUCCCCUCUUCAGUAAUCGUCCUCGGAUCUCCCCUGUCAUAAAAAAACAGGAGCAAUAUAUAAGAUAUUGAACGGCGCAGGCGGCUGAUAAAACUCCGUUGUUGCCGGCCAACAAUGGGCAGUAUGUGAAUGAAUGAUGGUGAUUUGAUGCUCAGAUUGAAUCCUUGAUCUCAUUAUGACUUUGGAGAGUCUCCAGGGAAACGACAUGAUUGGUUAGUUUGAUGUUCUGAUGUCAAUCUUGGUCGUCAGCUGGAUCUGUGACGCCUGACUGAGGCCUGAUGAAGGGGGAAACCCUCGCUCCUGGAAGAUGUUAGACUUUGUGCGUCCUUCUUGAUCUCUGAUGAUGAUGGAUUAUAAAAGACAUUGUAAUAAUGUGAAUUAAGGUUGUUUUCCUUCUUCUUUCUGUGUAUCUUUGGACGUUUACUCUGCAAACACGCUGUGGCGAAGAUGACAGCUGGAUGUAGACUCAGGGGAGCCAGAACAUACCUCAGCCUGCCUGUUAGUCAUGUUUUCUUGGUCAUUUUCUUCUUGCUGAGUUGUUUUUGACUUUUCUUGUCUCUUAGUUAUCAGUGCUGUGACGUCACCCGAUAGUUACUCAUGGUUGCUCGGAGCUGUGUUAUUAGCUUCCCCUGCUAAAGAAGCACCUUGUCAUUUCCACCCCCGGAGGACUCGCUCCCUCAUGACUGCGGGCGACUUUCUGCUGAAUGGCAGUAGAUUGUUCAGCCUGAGGACGCUUACGCUCACAAUCACUCCAUCAGUCAGCCCACAGACACUUCUUUGCCUUGCAAAUCCGCAACCCAAAUUCAUGCCGGCGCAGGCCUACUUUUUCCGACGUCAUUAGCAAACCGUGAGGCAGCCUGUCAGAAGAUGUGACCGCAGUGUUUGAUAGAAAUCAGAUAAAAGACCUCACAUCCAACAAUAACUGAUGAAUAUCUGGUGAGAUAGAAACAGAGACAUCAAGUUUAACCGACUUUUACCUGAUAAAUGUUGAUUUGAAACUUUAUCGAUCUGAUCACAUCGACCAGGCAUCUUCAAACUAUUCCACAAAGGGCCGUGCAGCUGCAGGUUUGUCUUCCAACCAAGCAGGAGUAGCACACCAGACUUGAUUCAUUUCAUCAGCUGAGCUCAGUCUUCAGAUAGCUGAUUGGCCAGACUGCUUUCUCUUGAUUGGUUGGAAGAGCAUCAGUCAUGCGGCCCUUUGUGGAAUAGUUUGGAGAUGCCCAAGUUACAUAAACCUUAAAACGGAGUGUCUUAGCCUCAGGUUACCAAGAACGAUUUUUAUACAUAACUGGCUCCAUUACUGUUGUCUUGAAUAAAUCCAGACAUGAAAACAGCCUCCUCUUUGUCACGCGGCAGAAUGUUUCCCUGAUCAUCGGCGUGCCCAAUUUCAGUGAUCAUAACUUUUUCUAAUUUUUCUGAAUCCCCAUGAUUUGACACACGAGGGGGAAAAACAGUCAUGAGGAAGGCUUAAGGCUUGAAAAGUUCCUGAUGUGCCUCCUGCUUUGUGACGCUUGUUCUCCUCAGGGAUAUCAGAGAGAUUAAACCAACAGAUAAAUGAAGAGUCACACUUAACAGAGCUCAUAACACUGUUACAUAAGAUGCAUAUUCAACAAACAAUUUCUUUUAAGAUUAAAUUACUUAUUUUAUCACUCUUUUGGAUGGUUGACUAGAGCUAAAAUAAUUGUUUGAAACAUUCAUAUUUUGGUCCAACUCAAUGGAGUGAAAAACUGAGAUUUUUUAAGCUACAAGUGACGAUGAAUAAGUCAUAUAGAUAAGGCCAAAAACACCAGCACCAAAGGAGGAAUCAUCUACUUAAAUGUGACCAUUAAUUGUUAAAUUUAGCUAAUACAGGCAAGCACUUCAUUAAAGCUUUGCCAAAAGGGAAAUUCAAGGUGGACACUUCAGCUGACGGGGUGCAACAGGGUGUAAAACCAGGUCCUCGAUUGAAAGCACCAGAGCUCUGUGCCACUCUGAGCUGCUCUUGGCAUGGCACAAACGCCCUCAUGGUUUUUCUGGAAGUGGUUGUGACUAUGUCGGAGGUGAAAACUGUUCAAAAAAUCCCCAGAGACCGUUCCUAGAGAGAAGGAAGACAGAAAAAGAGAGCACUCAAAGACAAGAGGACUUGUUUUUAGGGAUUUUAUUUCUCUGUCUUAGCUGAUUUUGUCUUCUCUGUUAUCCCGGCUCACAGCAGAAGACAACCUGUAUGGGGGUAAUGAGACUCUGUGGGACUGCUAAGUCAUGCUUUGCUGCUUUUGCACAAAUAAUUUAUUCUUCCUUCAGAGGAAAAAAAAAAAAAGAAAAAAGUGACCCGACCAUGAAGAUUGUGUUCACUGUGAGGCAGAUUGUGAUAUCAUAAAACUCAGAGGACCCUCUUUAGAGCAGUGUGCUUUAUAAUCACCAAUAAAACGAGAAGUACGGUCUUCAGAGAAAUCCCUGAAGCACUUUCUCCAGCUCUGCACAAAGAUGUCUGACUGAACCCUGAAGCUCUUCUUUGGUCUUGGCAUGUUCUCUAGAAAGUAACGAAGAAACAGUCACAUCACACCAUAAAUGCAUUACUGCCCUCUUUGCUGAUGGUCCUCUUAGUAUUUAAAGAUCAUUAAGUUUUGUCGACAUUCAUAUCUUUCUAUGUGAAGAACUUUGAGUAAGAAAACUAGGAUGGCUUUAACUCUGCGCUAAUUAUUGUAAAAUCUCACGGAUGUGUAUCAGUCCGCAGCUGAAAAUAGUCCCUUAAAUGUAUAGUUUUUACAGCAAGCGUGAGUAAAAUCAUUCGCGCGAAUGAAUUACAUGUUAAGUCAAUGCAAAGACGCGAUUAGACGCUCGUACUACUCUGACGGUGCGAAUGAGGCGAAUUUGGCGGGAGCUGAAAAUGUCUCAACUUGAGCGGAUAUUCACGUCACGAUAACCAACCAGCAGAUUGCCAGGUGACGUAUGAAAACUGACAGUUGUUCACUGGUAUCUAAAAUGGAGGACAAAUUGAUCAUGUCGAUGUGAGGGUGAUCCGAAUUAUAAGAUACCUUUUCUGUAAAUUACUGAAACUGGAAUAAAAAGGAGCUCGCCUGGAGGCAAGUGAGUGAGGAGGUCGGACAGGUUAGUCAGAAAAAACCUUUGUCUAUCACUUGAUCCUGCCGCUUGAAUUGGCAGGGAUUACCAUCUAAAUUAGCAUAAACCUUUAUCCACUUAAGAUUUGACGAGCGAAUGAAGCGAAUAAAUACUUUCCAUUCACGCAACUAGAUUCGCGCAAAUUAAGCGAGUUGUUGAGUAUACUUGCGCCUGGUGUGAGCGCCCCAUUAGAGUGUUGAAUUUCAGGUUUUUCUUGAUGUUUUUAUUUUACAAAAACCAAAAUUUUCCCACUUAUUCUCUUCAAAGUUCCUGCUAAAGGUAAAGGUACACCCCACAAGGUCAGAGAGUUAAGUUUAAGAAUAGAAACGUUUCUUCUCUCACGGGGACACAUCCUUCUUCGUACUCCACAAAGACGUUGUGUGUCCUCUACCUUUUGUCGCUCUCUUUCUCCUCAUCUCGCAGACAAACCCAUUCAAGACCCCGUGAUUAAUUAUUUACCCAGGCAAUGAAAUGCCAAAGCCAAGAGAAACACACCACCGGGAGAGGAAAGGUCACACACACACAGAGCGGUGAUGGAUGGCAAUAACAUCUUUAUCGGUGCUUCAGGCAGACACAGUUUUCAUCCUCGUGUCCAAAUAGCAGAGGGACCAAGGGCAAAGCAAAAACUUGACUGAUGAGCUGAAAUCUUCAAGAGAAGCCCUCAUUUAAAAACCACUCACAUGUCAGAGGCGCUGAACCCCCCAAUCGAUAAGUCUCGGACUCUGACAAAGUGUGU